RNAcentral lists this ribosomal RNA (449 nucleotides) under uncultured bacterium. Its description in RNAcentral is "bacterial SSU rRNA". It matches the Rfam family "Bacterial small subunit ribosomal RNA", at positions 29 to 524 of the family's 1533-position model. The record is from RNAcentral.
AACGAACGCUGGCGGCAGGCCUAACACAUGCAAGUCGAACGCCGUAGCAAUACGGAGUGGCAGACGGGUGAGUAACGCGUGGGAACCUACCUUACGGUCGGGAAUAGCUCAGGGAAACUUGGGGUAAUACCGGAUACGCCCUUACGGGGAAGAUUUAUCGCCGUUAGAUGGGCCCGCGUAGGAUUAGUUAGUUGGUGAGGUAAUGGCUCACCAAGGCGACGAUCCUUAGCUGGUCUGAGAGGAUGAUCAGCCACACUGGGACUGAGACACGGCCCAGACUCCUACGGGAGGCAGCAGUGGGGAAUAUUGGACAAUGGGCGCAAGCCUGAUCCAGCCAUGCCGCGUGAGUGACGAAGGCCUUAGGGUUGUAAAGCUCUUUUGGCGAGGAAGAUAAUGACGGUACCCGCAGAAUAAGCUCCGGCUAACUUCGUGCCAGCAGCCGCGGUAAU